RNAcentral lists this ribosomal RNA (297 nucleotides) under Musca domestica (house fly). RNAcentral's name for it is "partial ribosomal RNA small subunit". Lineage: Eukaryota; Metazoa; Arthropoda; Insecta; Diptera; Muscidae. The record is from RNAcentral.
AAAAAUUUGGCGGUAUUUUAGUCUAUUCAGAGGAACCUGUUCUGUAAUCGAUAAUCCACGAUGGACCUUACUUAAAUUUGUUUAGUUUAUAUACCGUCGUUAUUAGAAAUAUUUUAUAAGAAUGUUAAUUUUCAAAAUUUUAUAAAAGAAAAUAUAUCAGAUCAAGGUGUAGCUUAUAUUUAAGUAGAAAUGGGUUACAAUAAAUUUAUUUAAAUGAAUAUAAAUUUGAAAUGUUUAUUGAAGGUGGAUUUGAUAGUAAAAUUAUAAAGAUUAAUAAUUUGAUUUUAGCUCUAAAAU